GAAUCUCACUGCUUUAGUGGUAAAACAUCUGCUUUGUAUGCAGAAAGUCCCAGUUUCAAUGCCUGGAAUCUCCA
Podarcis lilfordi (Lilford's wall lizard) is the source of this 74-nucleotide non-coding RNA. The record is from the annotation of a GenBank genome assembly. NCBI's taxonomy places the organism in Eukaryota, Metazoa, Chordata, Lepidosauria, Squamata, Lacertidae.